UACGUAGGGUGCAAGCGUUGUCCGGAAUUAUUGGGCGUAAAGAGCUCGUAGGCGGUCUGUCACGUCGGCUGUGAAAACCCGAGGCUCAACCUCGGGCCUGCAGUCGAUACGGGCAAACUAGAGUACUGCAGGGGAGACUGGAAUUCCUGGUGUAGCGGUGAAAUGCGCAGAUAUCAGGAGGAACACCGGUGGCGAAGGCGGGUCUCUGGGCAGUAACUGACGCUGAGGCGCGAAAGCGUGGGGAGCAAACAGG
This 253-nucleotide ribosomal RNA is filed under the name uncultured bacterium. Its description in RNAcentral is "partial 16S ribosomal RNA". It matches the Rfam family "Bacterial small subunit ribosomal RNA", at positions 524 to 776 of the family's 1533-position model. The record is from RNAcentral.